This is a long non-coding RNA of Coturnix japonica (Japanese quail), 1035 nucleotides long. RefSeq lists it as uncharacterized. NCBI's taxonomy places the organism in Eukaryota, Metazoa, Chordata, Aves, Galliformes, Phasianidae. The record is from RefSeq and is a predicted model, not a curated record.
GAACUGCAUCAGAAUUUCUCUGAACGCCGUCCCCUUUAUUGUACUGCAUUAGUGGGAUUUGUGGGGGUGACAACGUGAAGUAGUGCAAGGAUGUGGAAUAAGCCCUGGAUGGCAACGUCAGGAGGGCUGUGGUGCUAAAAUAAAGAGAAAAUACAGCUGUUGGAGGGGUGGGGGUCAGCGCUGUGUGGCAUUGCAAUGGGGAAGAUCUCUUGGGACAGAGAGUAAGGAGGGAACCAACCCCAUGCCGGGGGCAUGGCUGGAGGAAUACAUGGGAAACGUAUUUGACAGGAAGGGGCUGCAGCUCCUUGUUGCCCCUUUGGCUGAUGGAAACAAGCAGGAAAAGCACAAAGUUGGCAUAGAGCUGAGAAAUGGUGAACUGCUCUGUCAUUGUUUGGGUCAUAGAAGAUGAUGGGUGGAAAUCCUGAGUCACCUGGCAACGGUGUGUUGUGAAUGGAGGAGGGGAAGUGCUGACAUGGCUGCAAGCAGGGAAACGUUUGGGAGGAAAGUUUGAGCCAUGAGUUGUGCCAGAGACCUCCCUGCAGCCACCAGGACCACAAUUAUAUGGCAUGGGGAAAGCCUGUCUCAUUACAGCUGGUCAUCAGUGCUGCUCUGACAUGGAAGUGAUGAAGCCGAUAAUUGCUUUGGGCUGCCUGCAGUGCUGCGCUCUCGAGUCACAGGGGAGUUCUCUUCUGGAGUCAAAUGUACUGCUUGGAUAUUGCUGUAGAGCAAAUUACACCGGACUUCUAAGGCCUGUUUGGAAAUGGAUAAAUGCAGAGCAGUCACUCAGCAGUGAUUCAGUGGCGUGCCUAUUGCAGCACUUGGUGUGGCUGGGACCGCUUGUGUUUGCUUCAGCUCCCGCUGCCAUCUCUCAUGAUGUCUUCGCUGUUCCAGUGACCUGGAGGAGAAAUACAAACCACUCUAGGUGUUAUUUCUGCUCAUCUAAUUUACCAGACGUCUGCAACUGAGGGGUUUCCUUAGUCCACAUUAAAACUGUGUUUGUUCUGGGUUCCUGGAUGGUUCCUGAUGAGAAAUCAC